RNAcentral lists this ribosomal RNA (439 nucleotides) under uncultured bacterium. Its description in RNAcentral is "bacterial SSU rRNA". It matches the Rfam family "Bacterial small subunit ribosomal RNA", at positions 338 to 795 of the family's 1533-position model. The record is from RNAcentral.
CCUACGGGUGGCAGCAGUGGGAAAUAUUGGACAAUGGGCGAAAGCCUGAUCCAGCAAUGCCGCGUGUGUGAAGAAGGUCUUCGGAUUGUAAAGCACUUUCGACGGGGACGAUGAUGACGGUACCCGUAGAAGAAGCCCCGGCUAACUUCGUGCCAGCAGCCGCGGUAAUACGAAGGGGGCUAGCGUUGCUCGGAAUGACUGGGCGUAAAGGGCGCGUAGGCGGUUUAUGCAGUCAGAUGUAAAUCCCCGGGCUUAACCUGGGAACUGCAUUUGAGACGCAUAGACUAGAGGUUGAGAGAGGGUUGAGGAAUUCCCAGUGUAGAGGUGAAAUUCGUAGAUAUUGGGAGGAACACCGGUGGCGAAGGCGGCAACCUGGCUCGAUACUGACGCUGAGGCGCGAAAGCGUGGGGAGCAAACGGGAUUAGAUACCCCUGUAGUC